AACGAACGCUGGCGGCAUGCCUAACACAUGCAAGUCGAACGAAGGCUUCGGCCUUAGUGGCGCACGGGUGAGUAACGCGUGGGAAACUGCCUAUUGGUGGGGAAUAACGACGGGAAACUGUCGCUAAUACCGCAUAAGCACUUCGGGGGAAAGAUUUAUCGCCGAUAGAUGUGCCCGCGCCAGAUUAGCUAGUUGGUGAGGUAAUGGCUCACCAAGGCGACGAUCGGUAGCUGGUCUGAGAGGAUGAUCAGCCACACUGGGACUGAGACACGGCCCAGACUCCUACGGGAGGCAGCAGUGGGGAAUAUUGGACAAUGGGCGAAAGCCUGAUCCAGCAAUGCCGCGUGAGUGAUGUAGGCCUUAGGGUUGUAAAGCUCUUUCGGGUGGGACGAUGAUGACGGUACCACCAGAAGAAGCCCCGGCUAACUUCGUGCCAGCCGCCGCCGUAA
RNAcentral lists this ribosomal RNA (449 nucleotides) under uncultured bacterium. RNAcentral describes it as "partial 16S ribosomal RNA". It matches the Rfam family "Bacterial small subunit ribosomal RNA", at positions 29 to 523 of the family's 1533-position model. The record is from RNAcentral.